This is a long non-coding RNA of Alexandromys fortis (reed vole), 1205 nucleotides long. RefSeq lists it as uncharacterized. The record is from RefSeq and is a predicted model, not a curated record. NCBI's taxonomy places the organism in Eukaryota, Metazoa, Chordata, Mammalia, Rodentia, Cricetidae. The transcript is spliced from 3 exons.
ACCUCAGGUGAGCCAAUGCUUGAGAACUAUUAGGCUGGAUCAUUCUGUUGCAGUAAAGGUUGGCUCUUAGUGAUCUCAGAGGCCGGUCUUCACUUCACGCUCAGCUGUGUGUAACACCACCAACACCUGGCAAAGCACCAACUUCCUUAAUGAGUGCUGGCAUUGUGCAAAGUAUAGUAAGUGUUCUGUUUACUGUUAGAAGGAGGCUCGGGAAACUUAGGGCCUAGGUUUCUGUUUACAUCUCAGACACCAACUGUCAACAACCACAGGAAGGCCGUUCCCUUUCUCUGGGACCUGAAAAGAGGGGCGGGGAAAUAAACGGAAACACAUUCCAAAGACGUUUCAAAUGCCAGCUAUUAGGGAGACCAGGGCUGUGGGUUCUGGGCUUAGGGCUGUCACUAAGGUGAGAGGUGAUGUGGGGCCUCUAGUCAGACCUCCAUUUCUUAUCUGCAGAGAUUGGCCUGGAUGACCUCAAAUGACCUCACUGGCAACGGGAAGUAGGGAGAAAAAAAGCAAGAGUCACAGAAUACAAAACAAGGCCAAAUGCAAACAAACCAGCAAACAAACAACAACAACAACAACAAAACCCAGGCCACACGUGGAGGAGCCUUGCUAAGGACUGUGCCUUCCUGUCCACCUUGACUAAAGCAAAUGGAGCCCAUCAUAGAAAACCACAACUGGACACAUGCAGAGAUCAACAGCUCCUGGGGAGCCCACCCCAGUGGAUACAUCUACAUCACAGCUCCUGCGUCAGGUCCAUCACAGAAGAGGGGCCAGACAGGUUGUCAGAAUACAAAAAGUCUACAGAAAAACAGUCUCCUGGAAGUGGGGCGUAAUCAACACUGAAAUCAUAGCAACACCAAUAGAUAUAUUCCUGUGGAAGGGGGAAGACUUUUUUGAGUGCCCCAGACCACAGGCAACCAAUAAAAGCUGGGAGAAGAAUUAGCCUCGCUCAGAGAUGAGCCUCCUUCGUGGUUGUUCAAUGUGAAGUGGUCAGCCUCAAAACCAUACAGACACCAUCAGCAAAAACAGACUCAGAAGACUCUGUAUAUAUUUGUGUGGACACACAUACACACAUUUUCAUAUAUAUGUAUGUAACAAUAAUAAUCAAAGAAAAGGAGGCUAUCAAUUCGUAAAGGGGAUCUGGGAGAGGCUGGAGAGAGGAAAGGUUGGAAAGUGAUGUAAAUCUAUUUCAGAUAAAUAAA